UUUUCGCUCUAAGAUGAGUCAUCGCGUAAGAUUAGCUAGUUGGUGAGGUAACGGCUCACCAAGGCGACGAUCUUUAACUGGUCUGAGAGGAUGAUCAGUCACACUGGAACUGAGACACGGUCCAGACUCCUACGGGAGGCAGCAGUAGGGAAUAUUGCACAAUGGAGGAAACUCUGAUGCAGCGACGCCGCGUGAGUGAUGAAGGCCUUCGGGUCGUAAAGCUCUGUCGCAGGGGAAUAACACAAUGAAUGUACCCUGUAAGAAAGGAUCGGCUAACUUCGUGCCAGCAGCCGCGGUAAGACGAGGGAUCCUAGCGUUGUUCGGAAUUAUUGGGCGUAAAGCGGAUGUAGGUGGCUUUGUAAGUCAGAUGUGAAAGCCCAGGGCUCAACCCUGGAAGUGCAUUUGAUACUGCGAAGCUUGAGUGUCGGAGAGGUUACUAGAAUUGUUGCCGUAGUAGCACCCGAUGGUGAAAUACGUACAUAUCAACAGGAAUACCGGAGGCGAAA
RNAcentral lists this ribosomal RNA (506 nucleotides) under Bdellovibrio bacteriovorus. RNAcentral describes it as "bacterial SSU rRNA". It matches the Rfam family "Bacterial small subunit ribosomal RNA", at positions 212 to 720 of the family's 1533-position model. Lineage: Bacteria; Pseudomonadati; Bdellovibrionota; Bdellovibrionia; Bdellovibrionales; Pseudobdellovibrionaceae. The record is from RNAcentral.